Molecule: ribosomal RNA, 597 nt
Filed under: Debaryomyces hansenii
Lineage: Eukaryota; Fungi; Ascomycota; Pichiomycetes; Serinales; Debaryomycetaceae
Description: LSU rRNA
Rfam family: Eukaryotic large subunit ribosomal RNA
Source: RNAcentral
CACGCGGGGGUAGAGCCCGAAAAACGGCGAGUGAAGCGGCAAAAGCUCAAAUUUGAAAUCUGGCACCUUCGGUGUCCGAGUUGUAAUUUGAAGAAGGUAACUUUGGAGUUGGCUCUUGUCUAUGUUCCUUGGAACAGGACGUCACAGAGGGUGAGAAUCCCGUGCGAUGAGAUGCCCAAUUCUAUGUAAAGUGCUUUCGAAGAGUCGAGUUGUUUGGGAAUGCAGCUCUAAGUGGGUGGUAAAUUCCAUCUAAAGCUAAAUAUUGGCGAGAGACCGAUAGCGAACAAGUACAGUGAUGGAAAGAUGAAAAGAACUUUGAAAAGAGAGUGAAAAAGUACGUGAAAUUGUUGAAAGGGAAGGGCUUGAGAUCAGACUUGGUAUUUUGCGAUCCUUUCCUUCUUGGUUGGGUUCCUCGCAGCUUACUGGGCCAGCAUCGGUUUGGAUGGUAGGAUAAUGACUAAGGAAUGUGGCUCUACUUCGGUGGAGUGUUAUAGCCUUGGUUGAUACUGCCUGUCUAGACCGAGGACUGCGUCUUUUGACUAGGAUGUUGGCAUAAUGAUCUUAAGCCACCCGUCUUGAAAACGGGAACCAAAANNA